Molecule: long non-coding RNA, 804 nt
Filed under: Mytilus galloprovincialis (Mediterranean mussel)
Lineage: Eukaryota; Metazoa; Mollusca; Bivalvia; Mytilida; Mytilidae
Source: RNAcentral
UAUGCUUGUAGUGAAAACGAAAACAGCUUACAAUAUUUUUUAGAUAUAUACAUAUAUAAUCGUUUAUAAAAUGUAUCCGUCAAAGUGAAAAAAUAUAUAACAUGUAAAAAUACAUAGAUCAUUCAUUUAUUGCAAUCAAUUAUAUCAAACAUGUUAGUUAAAAUAAUUUCUAGAACCAGUCACUCUCUGUAGAUAUAAUGCGUCGGACAUUGUAUGCAUAAAAAUAAAAUCUCGAUUUUUAACUGUAUGAAAUAAAAUUAGUAAGAGUUUCGCGGAACACAAUGUCUCGCCUUCGUUUGCCGUAAACUUGAACUCUCAGGGUGAGGCUGAACAAAAUCAAGACACUAUAUUUUGAUUGUUAUGAGCUUCUGUCCAAGUUCACAAAUAUUUCCGGUGCCUAUAAAAUAGCCGACUUUAAUUAAGUUAUUUGAAUCUGAGCUGGCAAAAUAGCAUAUUAUCUAUUAUGGUGGUAUCGGCAAAACAGCUACAAGUAUUGCCUUUAAUGAAAAUGCAUAUCAAUUUUAAAUACUAUUCUGAUUAAAAUAGCUUUGAGAAUCGUGUAAAAAGCGUUCGUUGUUCAGUCGUCAAUGAAUCAUUCAACGUGCGUGUAUCGUGCGUGCGUGUAUCGUGCGUGCGUGUAUCGUGUAUUUAUCAUUCAUCGUGCAUCGUGCGUGUAUCGUGCGUUCAUCAUUCAUCAUUCAUUUUGCGUUAAUCCUCCGUGUAACGCUCAUCGCUCAUCGUGCGUGUAUCGUGUAUCGUGCGUGUAUCGUGCAUUCACCGUGCGUGUAUAGUGCGUGUGGUCAG